This 204-nucleotide small RNA is filed under the name Pan troglodytes (chimpanzee). RNAcentral's name for it is "processed transcript". Lineage: Eukaryota; Metazoa; Chordata; Mammalia; Primates; Hominidae. The record is from RNAcentral.
CUUUUCGGAUGUGCCGGGAGCAGGGGGCGGCCACACAACAGCAGAGGUGGUGCCUGGUUCCCCCUAGACCAGAUGUGAACGAGUGUGCAGACGGUGCCCACCCCCCCUGCCACGCCUCUGCGAGGUGCAGAAACACCAAGGGCGGCUUCCAGUGCCUCUGCGCGGACCCCUACGAGUUAGGAGACGAUGGGAGAACCUGCGUAG